RNAcentral lists this ribosomal RNA (1443 nucleotides) under Cubacubana ramosi. Its description in RNAcentral is "SSU rRNA". It matches the Rfam family "Eukaryotic small subunit ribosomal RNA", at positions 402 to 1804 of the family's 1831-position model. The record is from RNAcentral. Lineage: Eukaryota; Metazoa; Arthropoda; Insecta; Zygentoma; Nicoletiidae.
GACGGCUACCACAUCUAAGGAAGGCAGCAGGCACGCAAAUUACCCACUCCCGGCACGGGGAGGUAGUGACGAAAAAUAACGAUGCGGGACUCAUCCGAGGCCCCGUGAUCGGAAUGAGCCGACUUCAACACAGUCGAGCGAGGAACAAUUGGAGGGCAAGUCUGGUGCCAGCAGCCGCGGUAAUUCCAGCUCCAAUAGCAUACACUAAACUUGUUGCGGUUAAAAAGCUCGUAGUUGGAUCUGGGUCGGCUGGCGGUCGGUUCGCCCUCCCCGGGCGUGACACUGGCCUGCCAGCGGACGUUCUGUGGCCGGUUGCAACUCCUGCCUGGGUGCUCUUCACUGAGUGCCCACGGUGGGCCGGCGAGUUUACUUUGAACAAAUCGGAGUGCUUCGAGCAGGCGAUUGCCGCCCGAACGCCUCUUGCAUGGAAUAAUGGAAAAGGACCUUGGUUCCUAUUUGCUGUUGGUCGUUCCGAACCUGAGGUAAUGAUUAACAGGGACGGACGUGGGCAUUCGUAUUGCGGCGUUAGAGGUGAAAUUCUUGGAUCGUCGCAAGACGGACUGAAGCGAAAGCGUCUGCCAAGGACGCUCUCAUUAAUCAAGAACGAAAGUCAGAGGUUCGAAGGCGAUUAGAUACCGCCCUAGUUUUGACCUUAAACGAUGCCAGCCAGCGAUCCGCCGAAGUUGCAAACUGAUGACUCGGCGGGAAGCUCCCGGUAAACCUACAGAGUCGGGUUCCGGGGGAAGUAUGGUUGCAAAGCUGAAACUUAAAGGAAUUGACGGAAGGGCACCACCAGGAGUGGAGCCUGCGGCUUAAUUUGACUCAACACGGGAAAACUCACCAGGCCCAGACACUGGAAGGAUUGACAGAUCGAGAGCUCUUUCUUGAUUCAGUGGGUGGUGGUGCAUGGCCGUUCUUAGUUGGUGGAGCGAUUUGUCUGGUUAAUUCCGAUAACGAACGAGACUCCAGCCUGCUAACUAGUAUGGGGAAGCUCUUCACGGGCUUCCACCAGGUACUUCUUCUUAGAGGGACAGGCUGCUUACAGCAGCACGAAACGGAGCAAUAACAGGUCUGUGAUGCCCUUAGAUGUUCUGGGCCGCACGCGUGCUACACUGGUGGAAUCAGCGUGUCAUCCCUGGCCGAGAGGUCUGGGUAACCAGCUGAACCUCGACCGUGUUUGGGAUUGGGGAUUGCAAUUAUUCCCCAUGAACGAGGAAUUCCUAGUAGGCGCGAGUCAUAAGCUCGCGUCGAUUACGUCCCUGCCCUUUGUACACACCGCCCGUCGCUACUACCGAUUGAAUGAUUUAGUGAGGGCUUUGGACUGGAGACCGGCGAUUCAACUUCCAGCCCUGCCGCGAGGUGGGUGUCUGGGGGUCGCCGACUCUUCAGGAAGAUGUCCGAACUUGAUCAUUUAGAGGAAGUAAAAGUCGUAACAAGGUUUCC